CUUUGUAAAGUGUCUGAGACAAACAAGAAAGGAAUAUAAUGUCCCACCUCACCCUAUGGCCACUCCAGAAAAGAAAAAUGUUUCCCUGGAGUAGAGGAGAACAGAGAUGGGGAGAAAAGAAUGGCCACAUCUGGCAUCCAGGCCGAGGAGUCCAUGCAGGA
RNAcentral lists this long non-coding RNA (161 nucleotides) under Microcebus murinus (gray mouse lemur). Its description in RNAcentral is "Prostate androgen-regulated transcript 1 conserved region 3 (ENSMICG00000031465.2)". It matches the Rfam family "Prostate androgen-regulated transcript 1 conserved region 3". Lineage: Eukaryota; Metazoa; Chordata; Mammalia; Primates; Cheirogaleidae. The record is from RNAcentral.